CAAAAUAUCUGGCAGGAAUUCUAGUAGUUGAGAAUACAGAAUUUUGUCAACUUUGAAAAGUGUAGUACAACAAUAUGUUACAGAACCAACAAUACUUGAUACUUUUGUGGACUUUUCUCUAUUCUAUACAUAUGUAUUCUAUACAUAUCUAUAUAUAUGUGUGUUUGUAUCGAUCUUUUUAAUAUAUGUUUCUGUUGGCCCAAGAGAGGGGAUGUAAGAGAUGUAAACAUAAACUGUAAAAUAAGUACAGUAUCUGUUUUUAUUCUGAUUGUGAAAUGCAGAUGCAGAGCCUUGCCACUAGGGGGAGUUUGUGAUCGAGAACCCUCAAUGGAGACCGCCGGUUAGUGUAAGGCCCUGCUGUAGAGCGGAAGGAGCGGUACAGUCGAGAUCGAUAUCUCCAAACUCAUCAUGUACUUCGUACUGUGUGUCUGUAAACAGAGAGACUUGGACGUCUGCUCCUCAGGGAUGAAGAUGGCUCCUGGUGCGUCUGGUAGCCAAACCAAACUGCAGCCCGGCUCGGCAUCAGCCCCGCAGCGACCCAUUAAUCUGACACCGCUGUGUUUGCUUUACAUCAUCAGCUCCAACUCCAGCCUUAUCCAGGAAGUCUCAUUAAGAUGAGGAGCUCAGACCAAACGUCAAGACAGUGACAGAAGAGAGAACCGGUUGUUCGUCACACUCACAGACGCAGUGGCUGUGGGAACAGGUUGAUACCAGUUCACCAGGGUCCGUGCCAGACCUGCCGGGCCUCAGCUGGAGAGCCGGUCUCCAGAGGACCGUCCUCUGAAUGGACCUGCAACAGGAGAAAGCAGCCCAUUAAGAUUCUACAGGAGCCUCACGGACCACCGUCACCACUGGAGGUUGUUUCAGCUGCUGCUGCAGCCGCUGGGACAGGAAACGUCACAGGAAACCACUGCCCACGAUUAAACGCACGGGAACAGUUGGAAAAUGAAGAGCCCUGUGACCCCUGUGACCCCCGUGACCCCCCCAGGCCGGACCAGACCCUGAGGGCAGUCCUGUCUUUGGCAGACGCUGUACAUCACGUACUGUAUUAUAUUGUCGUGAUUUUCAAACUGAACGUGAUUCCUGAAUGAUCAGAAACACAAACUGUUUCCUGCAGUAAAAAUGGCUGGAAUUCAAACUCCUGACCUUUUCCUGUUUUUUUUUUUUUUUUUUGCUCUUUUGAAAAUGUGCAGCGACUCGGCUGAAGUUGGUGUGAGUUGUUACCAUGGCAAAGAGCAGUGAAAGAGAAGAGAAGAGGGGGUUUCAGGAGUGUGUGUGUGUGUGUGUGUGUGUGUGUGUGUGUGUUGGUGGGGUUUUAUGUUUGAUCCUGAACAUGAAGCCUGAGAGACAGGAGUUACAACUUACUUUUGUUCAGAGGUGUGUGUGUGUGUGUGUGUGUGUGUGAGUGUGAGAGCUGAGGUUGUGUUUCAUGUCAAGUGAUACUUCACAGGGUUCAGAAUGCACUGCAACACCGUAUAAAAAGUGUGGGCCAAGGAAUUAAACUUGUUUUUUAUUUAUAAUUUACUUUUCACUCUGCUCAAACAAACUCAAAAAUACAACUAAAAUCCAGUUACAAAAAGAUGGUGGAAUUGUAGCUAAAGUCUGCUAUAAACGACACAUUCAGAAAAAUAAUAUACAUUUAUUAAUGUAAUUUAUUAAUUCCGAUUCCUAUAUCGACCGAUACGACAGGGGGCGGUGGUGGAAGUUAAAACAGUAUGUUUCUCAAUUCUUUUCUGCCCCCUAGGGGACAGAAUUAGAAUACUAUUGAGCACCUGGUAAUAUGUUUAUAUUUAUCUGUACGAACGGCAUAGAAUUCCCUGAUUAUCAAUAUAUUGAUUAAUAAAAUAAACGACAAUGCUGCCACCUAGUGACUACAGGCUUGUUAAGCGUUGAUAGAGUUCUGUGUUCAUUUGUUUUAGUGGGGAAUAAAUGUUAAGUUCUGGUUCUACUUUUUAUGACGAUUGUGUGCCUUGAACGCACCAUGUUGUAGCGCACAUGCUCAGUGUGUUCUGUACCUUGCGUUGGAGCCCCGGCUGGCCUGAUUAGUGCUGUUCUACUCCACGCGGUUUGGCGUGAGCUGUGGCCGACAACAGUGCUGAUCAUCGGUCAGGUGAUAAACCGCGUUCUGGUCAAAUAAACGCCUCUGUCUCAUUCUACCGCUGCGCCACAUCACGAAGGAGUUAACAGUUACGGGUAUGGGGGGGGGUUGUAGUCGUUGGGGAAGUUAGCAGGGGGGGUGGGGGGUGCAGGCGAUCUUGGAGAAGCUCGGUUGAGAGCAAUUAAGGAGUUAAGAACGAGUACUAUGUACUAUUACUUAAACUAUGUUUCAAUAAAUCUCUUCAGACGAACCUGACUGGUCUGUAGCUGCGGCGUGGACUUUUUUUUUUUUUUAGAACGUACGUCAUUUGGCGAAACCCAGGCAUUGAGUUAUCGGUUUUGAUUAUCGGAGGAAAAACAGCGUGAAAAACAGUGUUUCUUGUAAGUGGAACAGACACUUCAGACAUUUCAAAUACAAGGCUAUAACGUUACAUGUGAAUUCUUUAUGUAUGUGAUCUGUUUCAUUACCCGUCAGGCCACCCGGCAUUACCUCUCUCCAAGUGUGCCGUCAUCUCGACUCGACGUUGGUGAAUGGCAGAAAACAGGUCCUCAUCAGUGAUAGUACAGCGGAGGAUGGGAGUGAGAAGAGGGUCUUCAGCCUGUAGAGAUCUCCUGAAAAGGUGAGUCGACAGAAAUGAAUUCCAUGUUUACAUAAGUAGCUAAUCAGAGAGAAACAACAGGCGGAGCCGCUCCUCCUCCUGUCCCUGAGGAGCUGGAACCUCGGAAAAGUGAAAGUGAACUCCUUGUCAUUGUGACACACCACUGUACCAGAAAAAGGAAACUAUAAAAAUUUAAAUAAUAUAUAUAAUUGUUUGGGUUAUUAAAAUACUAGAGGAAGACAAGAAGUCUGGCUUUUUUUAUUGAGCUCCUCAACAUAUUUUGUAACUACUUGCAAAUUCAGGGCUUUUUUUUUAGGUUUUUUUCUUUUCUCAUAACAGUGGCAAUAGUUUACAGGUUCCAGAAGUCAACAUGAACUGUUUCUCUCUUAUUAGCUACUUAUGUAAACAUGGAACAAGAGCUUCUGCAUCCGAUUGAAAUACGGAUACAGUAGCUCUUGUUCUAGACAAAUCUACGUUUUUGCUAAAACUCUGAUCCCAGUGCAGCAGCCACAGUGGCACCACUCAUCAAGUAAAUGAAUGAAAAAAAUCUAUGCCAAAAUAUAAUGUGCUCACCUGAACUGGCACUGUGUGUGUUUGUGUGUGUGGUCUAGUGAUUGCUUAUGUUCUGUGCAUAUAAAUCUGUUUGCACAGACACAUAAUGAGGAAAAAAGCAAUUCCUCAUAUCAUAAAUCUUUCCAUUUAAGGACAAAGACGUGUUUGAAGUGCAACAUACAGAUGAAAUAUAUACAUUCUUUGGGCUCAAACUUGUCAUUAUGAUGAGAUAACAUUGAUAAUGCAGUGAUGAAUGUGAUUGGAAAUACAUCAAACCCUCAGAAUUUCUAGUUUGUUCUCCGUGUAGACUUGCACUAUCUGUGCUUUCUCCAGGAGGUGGUUUUCCAUGGUACAACAACAAAUCAUUUAAAGCCCAGAGGAACUUGUUUUAAUUGCAAACCUUAACUGGUUUGCAGGUUCCAUGUUUCUCAUCAAAAUGCAGUAUUUUUUAAAAAAAAAUUACAAA
Molecule: long non-coding RNA, 3714 nt
Organism: Cynoglossus semilaevis (tongue sole)
Lineage: Eukaryota; Metazoa; Chordata; Actinopteri; Pleuronectiformes; Cynoglossidae
Exons: 5
Source: RefSeq, a predicted model, not a curated record